AAUGAGGGGAAGUUAAGGUAGUGCCAGGGGUUUAUGUUGAUGUGUUCUACUUUAACCUAGAAAUAAUCUUCUAAGUUCAGCACUGUCUUUCCUUUUCUAUUUCAGUUGUAGUUGUUAAUUGAAAGGAAUGGCCAGUUCUAUACGUGGAUGUUUAACCAGUUAUAAUCUGCCAAAACUUAAAAGUACAAUUGCAGCAAUGCUUACCUUCUUUUUCUGUUUUUGGUUGGAGUUGGUUGCAUAGUGAACCCAAUGUUGCAAAUGCUUUUUGGCGACGCAGCCAAAGGAAAGCUGUUGCCGAACAAUGGACAACUAGUUCAAGGGUGUUCCUAGUGCAUACAGUGAAUCAGCAGCUGCCAAGGCCUACCCAAAUUGUGAAGCAGUUCCCUGCGAACAAUUCGAAACUGCCUUCAAUGUACUACUAUUUAUGUUGGAAUGACGUCUUGGCACUUGGUGGGGGUGGUAGCUUUGAAUUAUGCUUGGAUGGGGAUUUGUUGCAUGGAACAAGUGGGCCUUGGGAGACUUUUGGGAACUUGUACUCCGCUCAUAAUCCAGAGUUCGAGUUGAAGAAUGUUGAGGUAACGCUAGGUUAAUUACUUACUAUUCAAUCAUCUUUCAGGUCUUCUGAUUCUUUAACAAAGUUUUUACCUGCUUAAUUUUCAAGAGUUCCAUUUUGUCUUCUUCUUCUUCUUCUUCUUCUUCUUCU
This is an RNA transcript of Magnolia sinica, 703 nucleotides long. RefSeq lists it as uncharacterized. The transcript has 4 exons. Lineage: Eukaryota; Viridiplantae; Streptophyta; Magnoliopsida; Magnoliales; Magnoliaceae. The record is from RefSeq and is a predicted model, not a curated record.